AGAUUAAUAAUUGUUCAUGCUAAAAUUGGUGAAAUGUAUGGGUUUCAUGAAUAUCUGAAUACUCAAACAGUACAAGUUGUGCUGUAAUAGUGAACUGGAUUCUGAGCAGAAUCAGGUCCUCUCACUGCAGGUUCUGGCCUCAUAAAAGGGACGGCUGAAGCAGCAGCACUUGAAUUUUGAAUCAUAGCUGCAGCGCUUGGCAAACCUGAACCCACACCCAAACUGGGUCACAAUGGAAUGGCAUCUGCAUAGGUGCCUUGGAACAUUGCAACAUUAAAUGUACUUGGGUCUCAUCAUCAGCUUUGGACAUGUCCACAUGUUGGAAAGCAACCAGCCUUCUUCUUUUGCAGGACUCUUCUUGACCAGCCACUCCUGUCCCGGGCCAGCUCCUGCCUACCCUUCAGGAGGAAGUUAUUAUCAUUGUUAUUUAUUGGGAAGGAUCAUAUCUUCCCAGGUCAGGAACAGGAGAGCAUUGUGAAGUCAGUUAAGUAUCACUGUCUCCAUUUUACAGAUGAGUAAAUCAGGGUGUAUUGAGUCAUCACAAUGAAUUGUUAUCACAGCUGGGAAUAGAACGCAGGAAUCCUGACUUCCAUGCCCAGUCCCACCUGUUCUCACCAGUAGGUCACAUAUCCUCCCAGCUGUGGAAAUAGAACUCAGAAGUCCUGACUCCCAGUCCCGUUGUGCUGAAACCCUAGAGAACACUUUAUUUAAAUGGGGAUAGGCCAGUGGUUUUCAACCUUUUUUCAUUUGCAGACCCCCUAAAACAUUUCAAAUGGAGAUGUGGACCCCUUUGGAAAUCUUAGACAUAGUCUAUGGAUCCCCAGGUGUCCAUAGACCACAGGUUGGUUGAAAACCACUGGUAUAGGCAGUAGAUGACUCCUGUUGUCUCUGACACACCCAAGUGGCCUGAUCCUGCUGGAAGUCAAUGGCAAAACUCCCAUUGUGGUCUAUAGUCGCCUCCACUUCUCCCUGGAGGUGCAGUAAAGGUCACCAGGUUUCCCAGUGGUGCCUCCCUUCAUUCCUGCACUCUGCUCCCCUUCCCAGGCUUGGGAAGCCAAUCAGUCUCACAGCUUUGCAAGGACUGGGGGCAGCCAGAAACUGGGACUAGGCAACAGGGGAUGGAUCACUCGAUAAAUUGCCCUGUUCUGUUCAUUCCCUCUGAAGCACCUGGCAUUGGCCACUGUCGGACAACAGGAAACUGGGCUAGAUGGACCAUUGGGCUGACCUAGUAUGGCCGUUCAAGGAGGCUCCUUGGCCACAGUUCUAAAACCAGCUUGACAACUUGCUGUUAUUUGUUCAAGAAGUGGUGACUGGGGAAGGGGAAAGCACUGUGGUGGCCUCCCAGCCUGUCCCCUUUUCCUGGCGUGGCUCAGUUGGCCACAUUAGGUGGUUUAUAAAAUUCAUAACAACAUACUGGCCAAUUACAAGUCCUCAGGUCUUUCUGGCUCUGCUUCCGCUCCUUGACCUGGGCUGCCCUG
Molecule: long non-coding RNA, 1478 nt
Filed under: Chrysemys picta bellii (western painted turtle)
Lineage: Eukaryota; Metazoa; Chordata; Testudines; Emydidae
Description: lncRNA (ENSCPBG00000027127.1)
Source: RNAcentral